Molecule: ribosomal RNA, 325 nt
Filed under: uncultured eukaryote
Lineage: Eukaryota
Description: partial 18S ribosomal RNA
Rfam family: Eukaryotic small subunit ribosomal RNA
Source: RNAcentral
CCCUUAGAUGUUCUGGGCCGCACGCGCGCUACACUGAUGCAUUCAACGAGCCUAUCCUUGACCGACAGGUCCGGGUAAUCUUUGAAUCUGCAUCGUGACGGGGAUAGAUUAUUGCAAUUAUUAAUCUUCAACGAGGAAUGCCUAGUAGGCGCAAGUCAUCAGCUUGCGUCGAUUACGUCCCUGCCCUUUGUACACACCGCCCGUCGCUCCUACCGAUUGGGUGUGCUGGUGAAAUGUUCGGAUCGGCCGUUUGUCGCGGUUUCCGCGUCAUGUGGCUGAGAAGUUCAUUAAACCCUCCCACCUAGCGGAAGGAGAAGUCGUAACA